RNAcentral lists this ribosomal RNA (184 nucleotides) under Kudoa thyrsites. RNAcentral's name for it is "5.8S ribosomal RNA". The stretch from base 13 to 166 matches the Rfam family "5.8S ribosomal RNA". From Rfam's summary of the family: 5.8S ribosomal RNA (5.8S rRNA) is a component of the large subunit of the eukaryotic ribosome. It is transcribed by RNA polymerase I as part of the 45S precursor that also contains 18S and 28S rRNA. Functionally, it is thought that 5.8S rRNA may be involved in ribosome translocation. Lineage: Eukaryota; Metazoa; Cnidaria; Myxozoa; Multivalvulida; Kudoidae. The record is from RNAcentral.
UAAACGUUUGACAACCGUUAGCGGUGGAUCACUCGGUUCGUGUAUCGAUGAAGAACGCGGCCAACUGCGAUAAGUGGUGCGAUUCGCAGCGCCUAGUGAGUCAUUGAAAUUUUGAAUGCAAAUGGCAUGUUGGGUCUAACCCCAGCAUAUGUCUGGUUGAGUGUCUUUUCUACGACCACACAAU